CAGUCGCCGCGGUAAUACGUAGGGUGCAAGCGUUAAUCGGAAUUACUGGGCGUAAAGCGUGCGCAGGCGGUUGUGUAAGACAGGUGUGAAAUCCCCGGGCUUAACCUGGGAAUUGCAUUUGUGACUGCACGACUAGAGUGUGUCAGAGGGGGGUGGAAUUCCACGUGUAGCAGUGAAAUGCGUAGAUAUGUGGAGGAACACCAAUGGCGAAGGCAGCCCCCUGGGAUAACACUGACGCUCAUGCACGAAAGCGUGGGGAGCAAACAGGAUUAGAUACCCCUGUAGUCCCUGUCUCUUAUAC
RNAcentral lists this ribosomal RNA (301 nucleotides) under uncultured bacterium. Its description in RNAcentral is "partial 16S ribosomal RNA". It matches the Rfam family "Bacterial small subunit ribosomal RNA", at positions 509 to 807 of the family's 1533-position model. The record is from RNAcentral.